Bombus pyrosoma is the source of this 1981-nucleotide long non-coding RNA. RefSeq lists it as uncharacterized. The transcript is spliced from 3 exons. Lineage: Eukaryota; Metazoa; Arthropoda; Insecta; Hymenoptera; Apidae. The record is from RefSeq and is a predicted model, not a curated record.
UAAAGUUCAUGAUGGAAUUUUGAGUUAUUGAAGCUUAGCUGACUCAAGUGAUAUACCUCACCAUGGGAUCACACAGUUAUAGAGGAUCCAUAAAUUUAUUAAUUUCUUACUAAUUCUAUCAUUCUCACCUGAACAAAAGCUCACGUCUAUACCUGCUGAGCUUAACCUAACUAUGAGUUUCUAAACUUCGAACUAGAUAAAAAAGUUUUGUUUCCAGUGCUUCUGCAUCCUCUAUACACGCUAAGUGUAAGAACUCUAUCAAGCGUUAAAAUGUCACAGUGUGUGUUGCAUCAUGAGAAACGAACCACCUCAGUGUGUCUCGACGAGGCAUAAGACGUGGCAUGAAGAUAUCGAAGGUCCUUGAAGAAGCAAGUCAAAGAAGGGAUAGAUGGGUCGUCCGAAAGCAAUUAGCCUCGAAAAUAUUUCUGGCUUGCGUCCGAGGGCCCUUUACCAACAAUGCGCCAGCGUUUUCGUUGUAUGCAAACUGUCUUCAAGUGACGAAGGGUGUCGAAUGAAGCAGCACGGAGGAUCAAAGAGUGACAGCGACCCAUACGAAGAUCAACCCCAAUACCUAAGCCUUUGGAGGUGUGUAAGGGCGUCCCCAAGAGGACACAGUCCCCCUUUUCACGUCGACAAACGCGGGAUCGUGACUCAGCAGCGAAAUAGAAUCUCCGGAGACUCGUGCUUUUCGCUUUGGAUGGAUCUGCUGCCAACACCUUCACGUGGGAUAUAUGCGAAAAUAGCCGGGAUCUUUCGUAGAUUUAGGGAUCCGGACACGCGUGUAUUCUCAUACGAACCAUGUCGAAUUUCGUUGCUCGGACGCGUAAAUAUUUGGAAUAUUCUGUAACCUGCAGAUCGAUCGGUCCCUGAAGACUUUAAUAUCGUCGAGCGCGUGAAAAAUAUUUUGAAUCUACUUUCUUCCUCAUUAGAACGCAGGUGGCCACCUGUUAAUAUUAGAAAUUUAUUAGCUUUCUUUUGCAAUUGUUGAGAAUUGUGCAUCUUAAUCGCCGAAAUACAAGUAAAGGAAUACUAAGGUUACACUCAGAAUUCAUAUUAAAAUAGUUUUAGAUUUAUUUAAUAAACGAUUCCCAGGAUCUUCGUGGAUACACAUUUGCGCGCGUCUCAGCGCUUCCUUUGAUUCACCAUCUUCUUUACCGCGCUACCAAUGGAACAACAGUUGCAUUCGUCUGUUUUUCGAGACGUUGUGCACACACAUAUUUCCGUACACUCAUAUUCACAUACAUGUGUCACUACUACACGGCUAAUCUAGUCUGGCACACAAAAUAUCUCAAUAUAAUCUCAAUAGGAAUAUUUCAAAAUUGCUCUGCGUUUUCAUCCCUUAAAUAUCUUCACGUACACGUCUAAGAUUUUGUUUAUUGUGAAAAGAGGAAUAAUUUUAUAGAGUGAAGAGUAACUUGUGUGUACGAUAUUCAAUUUCGUCGUGAUAUUACUUUGCAAUGGAAUUGCAAGUCAUUUUGAAAACACCUAAGUUAUUAAAAAAAUACUUUGUUUGAUAUGAAAAGAGUUUGUAGGGCUAUGAACAUUGUAUGAACAUUUUGAUUAUUUACACUAAGGUUACAGCUUCAUGAGGAUGUUUUGAUAGUUUUUGAUAAUCCUGACGUUCCAAGAACAACAAUUAAAUAUGCAAAUAGGAUAAUGCUUGGAAACAUACGAAGGGUUAAAAGUCGAAAUGAUAAAGCGAGGGACAGGGUUUGUAAGAUUCAUGAAGCUGUGGUUAUACGUUUUCUUGUUCGUUUCAAGAAUGAUUCUUGCGUGUAAUUAUACGCGAUUAUAAAUGAGGCACCGUUGCAUUGUAAAUUCUCAGAAGUUGUAAAUUAUCAUGUCAUUGAAUGUAUAAAGAGAUGUAGAUGAACAGCUACUGAUUGUCGAUACAGCGACCGUAAACGUUUUUGAUAAAAACUUAUUCCCCUAAGAUCUAUGUCCAUGGCAAUUCCAUUACUUGUACACAUUCAAGCCAAUC